This 492-nucleotide ribosomal RNA is filed under the name uncultured bacterium. RNAcentral's name for it is "partial 16S ribosomal RNA". It matches the Rfam family "Bacterial small subunit ribosomal RNA", at positions 29 to 507 of the family's 1533-position model. The record is from RNAcentral.
AGUGAACGCUGGCGGUAGGCCUAACACAUGCAAGUCGAACGGCAGCACAGUAAGAGCUUGCUCUUACGGGUGGCGAGUGGCGGACGGGUGAGGAAUACAUCGGAAUCUACUUUUUCGUGGGGGAUAACGUAGGGAAACUUACGCUAAUACCGCAUACGACCUACGGGUGAAAGCAGGGGAUCUUCGGACCUUGCGCGAUUGAAUGAGCCGAUGUCGGAUUAGCUAGUUGGCGGGGUAAAGGCCCACCAAGGCGACGAUCCGUAACUGGUCUGAGAAGAUGAUCAGCCACACUGGAACUGAGACACGGUCCAGACUCCUACGGGAGGCAGCAGUGGGGAAUAUUGGACAAUGGGCGCAAGCCUGAUCCAGCCAUACCGCGUGGGUGAAGAAGGCCUUCGGGUUGUAAAACCCUUUUGUUGGGAAAGAAAAGCAGCAGGUUAAUACCCCGCUGUUCUGACGGUACCCAGAGAAUAAGCACCGGCUAACUUCGUG